CCCUUAGAUGUUCUGGGCAGCACGCGCGCUACAAUGGUCUUCGCAAACGGAUGCAUUCUCGAAGGAGAAUGCCAAUCUUGGAAUCUAUGCCUUGGUCGGGACAGUUGCUUGCAAUUUUUCGACUCGAACCAGGAAUUCCUUGUAAUCGUGAUUCAUCACAUCACGAUGAAUACCUCCCUGCCCUUUGUACACACCGCCCGUCGCUCCUACCGAUCGAAGAGUUAGGUGAAUUGUUUUGAUCGAUAAGAUUUGACUAUGGUCAACUCUCGUUGUGAAAUUCUGUGAAUCUGACUGUUUAGAGGAAGGAAAAGUCGUAACA
RNAcentral lists this ribosomal RNA (319 nucleotides) under uncultured eukaryote. RNAcentral describes it as "partial 18S ribosomal RNA". It matches the Rfam family "Eukaryotic small subunit ribosomal RNA", at positions 1470 to 1796 of the family's 1831-position model. The record is from RNAcentral.